Non-coding RNA from Petromyzon marinus (sea lamprey), 193 nucleotides. Lineage: Eukaryota; Metazoa; Chordata; Hyperoartia; Petromyzontiformes; Petromyzontidae. The record is from RefSeq and is a predicted model, not a curated record.
GAAGUGACGUCACGUCACCUGGUGCCGCGUGACGUCACGAGGAAACCUGAAGCUGCCGCUUCGUGCGUGAACUGAAAUCCGAGGCCACGCCCACGUUCAGCUGCUGUACUCCUCUUGUUUUCAAAAGCGACCUGCCCACAACAACAAUAACAACAAGAAUUUGUCUAAUGGAGCAAAGGCACUCGGCGCAGCU